CCGGAGGAAGGUGGGGAUGACGUCAAGUCCUCAUGGCCUUCAGGCUGGGCUACACACGUGCUACAAUGGCAUCUACAGUGGGCAGCUAUUCCGCAAGGAUGCGCUAAUCUCCAAAAAGAUGUCUCAGUUCGGAUUGUCCUCUGCAACUCGAGGGCAUGAAGGCGGAAUCGCUAGUAAUCGCGGAUCAGCAUGCCGCGGUGAAUACGUUCCCAGGCCUU
Molecule: ribosomal RNA, 218 nt
Filed under: uncultured Porphyrobacter sp.
Lineage: Bacteria; Pseudomonadati; Pseudomonadota; Alphaproteobacteria; Sphingomonadales; Erythrobacteraceae
Description: partial 16S ribosomal RNA
Rfam family: Bacterial small subunit ribosomal RNA
Source: RNAcentral